Medicago truncatula (barrel medic) is the source of this 1261-nucleotide long non-coding RNA. RefSeq lists it as uncharacterized. The transcript is spliced from 2 exons. Lineage: Eukaryota; Viridiplantae; Streptophyta; Magnoliopsida; Fabales; Fabaceae. The record is from RefSeq and is a predicted model, not a curated record.
ACAAUCAUAGAGGAAGAAAUUAAGGGAAUAAGUUCAUAAAUAAAUCUUCCUUCAAAAAAAAAAGUUCAUAAAUAAAUCAAUACAUCUCACAUUCUCUGGGUAACCACCGCAGCCACCGCCCCUCCAUUUGAGUCUGACAAAGUGACCUUCCCCUCUCUCUCUGAAACAAAAGUGAAAAAACAUAACCCAAAAUCAAAAUUCAAGGUCUCUCCUCUCUCAUUCGAUAAUGAGAGUUUAGAAGUAUGAAGAUGUCAUGAGUGAGUAAAAUGGAGUUAGUGUUAAAUUUUGUACUUAAACAAAAAGGGGAAAAGGAAACAAGAAAUUGAAGGUUAGUUUGUGGCCCAAUCAUUGUUUGAUUCUGGUUGUGCUAUUCUUGUUUUAUGCAAUUCUUGUAUUCUGGUCAUGGUUAGUUUUAUGUUAUUCUUGUAUAAGUAUUCUUUUUGCACAAUCUUUGUUUGAGUGGAGUAAUGCAUUUUACAAAGUGCAUUGGGAAAGAGUUCAUCAUAUAGUAGCAAAUAAGGAAUAAUCAAGUGAGCAAGGCAACUUAACAGAUUUUUUGUGUAUAAAUAAAGUGUGAGAUAGUCCAACUCAAACGCAUAAGUGCCUCCGCAAAAUGGCGAAGAAGAGCGAACAUCUUCCUCAAGAAGUGAUUAAUGAAAUCCUGUUGAGGUCCAUCCAUUGUUGUCAACAAACAAAUACCUCUGUCUCCUAUAACUCUUACCUACAAUGAAUAUAUUAUCAACUUUCUGUGUGGCUUGACAUAUGAACCGUCAACUGAUGAUUACUUGGUAGUUUUGGGGUACUACCAAUACGAUGAUAACUUUUUGGAAUCUGGUUUAACUGACUUGGAGAUUUUCUCAUUGAGAGCUAAUAAGUGGAAACAAAUUGAGUUUGGUUCUCCUUUGCCUUACAAGUCUCCAUAUGACGCGUGUCGCAGACUCGGGUCCUUCUUGAAUGGGGCUAUUCAUUGGCUUAGUAAAGUUGUCAUAUUAACUUCAUCUUUAACUUAUUUCAUCAUUUAUGUUUUAUCUUUUACAUUAUUUUAUAUGUUAUUGUUGUGUUAAAAUAGAAUUGGAUUUAUAUGAUUUAAAUGAUGCUUACUAAGGUCUAUUUGUAGGUAAGAUUGAUUGAAACUGUGUCAUGAUCAAAGUUUCUCUGCAUUUGUAUCAUUGUAUGUGUUUGUUUAUGGAUGAGUUUGGCUAAGGUGGUCUUACCACUUCACAAAAGUCAAAGCAGGAUUAACUUUUGGCUAAACCUUUUA